AUCCUACGGGACGCAGCAGUGAGGAAUAUUGGUCAAUGGGCGGGAGCCUGAACCAGCCAAGUCGCGUGAGGGAAUAAGGCCCUAUGGGUCGUAAACCUCUUUUGUCAGGGAGCAAAGGCGUCCACGUGUGGACGAGAGGAGAGUACCCGAAGAAAAAGCAUCGGCUAACUCCGUGCCAGCAGCCGCGGUAAUGCGGAGGAUGCGAGCGUUAUCCGGAUUUAUUGGGUUUAAAGGGUGCGCAGGCGGCGUGUCAUGCAAGCGGUAAAAUAGCGGGGCUCAACCCCGUC
RNAcentral lists this ribosomal RNA (287 nucleotides) under uncultured bacterium. Its description in RNAcentral is "partial 16S ribosomal RNA". It matches the Rfam family "Bacterial small subunit ribosomal RNA", at positions 335 to 619 of the family's 1533-position model. The record is from RNAcentral.